This 274-nucleotide ribosomal RNA is filed under the name uncultured bacterium. RNAcentral's name for it is "partial 16S ribosomal RNA". It matches the Rfam family "Bacterial small subunit ribosomal RNA", at positions 523 to 796 of the family's 1533-position model. The record is from RNAcentral.
AUACGGAGGGUGCAAGCGUUAAUCGGAAUUACUGGGCGUAAAGCGUGCGCAGGCGGUUUGUUAAGUCAGAUGUGAAAGCCCCGGGCUCAACCUGGGAACUGCAUUUGAAACUGGCAAACUAGAGUGUGGUAGAGGGAAGUGGAAUUCCUCAUGUAGCGGUGAAAUGCGUAGAUAUGAGGAGGAACACCAGUGGCGAAGGCGACUUCCUGGACCAACACUGACGCUCAUGUACGGAAGCGUGGGUAGCAAACAGGAUUAGAUACCCCGGUAGUCC